UACGUAGGGACCGAGCGUUGUCCGGAAUCAUUGGGCGUAAAGCGCGUGUAGGCGGCCAGAUAAGUCCGUUCUGAAAGCCCGGGGCUCAACCCCGGGAGGCGGAUGGAUACUGUUUGGCUCGAGUCCGGAAGAGGCGAGUGGAAUUCCCCGGUGUAGCGGUGAAAUGCGCAGAUAUCGGGAGGAACACCAAUGGCGAAGGCAGCUCGCUGGGACGGUACUGACGCUGAGACGCGAAAGCGUGGGGAGCAAACGGG
This 254-nucleotide ribosomal RNA is filed under the name uncultured bacterium. RNAcentral's name for it is "partial 16S ribosomal RNA". It matches the Rfam family "Bacterial small subunit ribosomal RNA", at positions 524 to 776 of the family's 1533-position model. The record is from RNAcentral.